RNAcentral lists this ribosomal RNA (350 nucleotides) under uncultured bacterium. RNAcentral describes it as "bacterial SSU rRNA". It matches the Rfam family "Bacterial small subunit ribosomal RNA", at positions 1 to 334 of the family's 1533-position model. The record is from RNAcentral.
CUAGCGACUUCAGAGUUUGAUCCUGGCUCAGGAUGAACGCUGGCGGCGUGCCUAACACAUGCAAGUCGAACGGGACUUAUUAUGACGAUUUCGGUCUGAAUUUUAAGUUUAGUGGCGGACGGGUGAGUAACGCGUGGACAACCUGCCUUUCACAGGGGGAUAGCAGCUGGAAACGGCUGGCAAUACCGCAUACGCUCAUGCCACCGCAUGGUGGUGUGAGGAAAGAUUUAUCGGUGAAAGAUGGAUCCGCGUCUGAUUAGCCAGUUGGCGGGGUAACGGCCCACCAAAGCGACGAUCAGUAGCCGGCCUGAGAGGGCGGACGGCCACAUUGGGACUGAGACACGGCCCAG